Molecule: long non-coding RNA, 519 nt
Organism: Populus trichocarpa (black cottonwood)
Lineage: Eukaryota; Viridiplantae; Streptophyta; Magnoliopsida; Malpighiales; Salicaceae
Exons: 2
Source: RefSeq, a predicted model, not a curated record
UUCAAUACUGCCUCAACCAGCCUUGCGCUAAAAAAGUAGUCUUUCCUCUGCUUCGAAGCACAAACACAGCCAAAAAGAAAAAAAUUGCUCUCCUCUACUCUUUAGCCUGCCAAGGAAAUGGUAUCUACAUCCUCAAUGAAAAUGGUACACAGUACUCACCUUGUUUUUCAGGCAGUGUGGUUAUGACCAUGUCGUUUUGAAUGCAAGCAGGCCACAUAAAAUAUCUACCAUCAGAAAUGCCUGGACUGGUUACUCUCAAAGUCCUACUUUGAACUGCCUUGGAAGAGCCUUGGCUUCAAGAUCUCACUAUGCAUCGGAUUUUCCUGUCAUUCAGCUUUCUAAAUCAUCUUCUAUGAAGAAUCAAAGAAUGAUGUGCGUCAACCCAAUUGCAAGUGUAGCUACUUAAUCAAUCCCUUUGCUUUGGUAUUCAGUAAUGAUACACUUAAAAAGUCUUUAGAACAAUGGACAGCUAAGUUUCGUUUUCAGGCAUCAUAUCUCAAUGGAUUUCUUUUCUAUCUA